GAUCAUGGCUCAGGACGAACGCUGGGGCGCGCCUAACACAUGCAAGUCGAACGAGCGAGAGAGAGCUUGCUUUCUCGAGCGAGUGGCGAACGGGUGAGUAACGCGUGAGGAACCUGCCUCAAAGAGGGGGACAACAGUUGGAAACGACUGCUAAUACCGCAUAAGCCCACAGGUCGGCAUCGACCAGAGGGAAAAGGAGCAAUCCGCUUUGAGAUGGCCUCGCGUCCGAUUAGCUUAG
This 238-nucleotide ribosomal RNA is filed under the name uncultured bacterium. Its description in RNAcentral is "partial 16S ribosomal RNA". It matches the Rfam family "Bacterial small subunit ribosomal RNA", at positions 15 to 249 of the family's 1533-position model. The record is from RNAcentral.